Molecule: non-coding RNA, 1055 nt
Organism: Lepus europaeus (European hare)
Lineage: Eukaryota; Metazoa; Chordata; Mammalia; Lagomorpha; Leporidae
Source: the annotation of a RefSeq genome assembly
AUGGGCACCCAGACCUUCUGCUGUGUGGUUCUCUGUAUUCUGGGAGCAGAGCCCACCAGUGCUGGGGUCAUCCAGACGCCCAGGCACACAGUGACAGAGAAGGGACAAGCGGUCACUCUGAGGUGUGAGCCAGUGUCAGGCCAUGCUGCUCUUUUCUGGUAUAGACAGACCUCGGGACAAGGACUGGAAUUUCUGAUUUACUUCAACAACCAGGCUCGUAUAGACGACUCAGGGAUGCCCAAGGAUCGAUUCUCAGCCAACAUGCCUAAUGCAUCGCUCUCCACUCUGAAGAUCCAGCCCACAGAUGCCAGGGACUCUGCCGUGUACCUCUGUGCCAGCAGCUUAACCACAGCACUGCAUGACUACACCUUCGGCUCAGGGACGAGGCUGACGGUUGUAGAGGACCUGGCAAAUGUGAGCCCACCCCAGGUCGCCAUGUUUGAGCCAUCAGAAGCAGAGAUCGCCAGCACCCAGAAGGCCACGCUCGUGUGCCUGGCCAAAGACUUCUACCCUGACCACGUGGAGCUGAGCUGGUGGGUGAACGGGAAGGAGGUCCACAAUGGGGUCAGCACGGACCCCCAGCCCUACAGGGAGGAUGCCGAUUCCAGUCACUCCAAAUACUGGCUGAGCAGCCGCCUGAGGGUGUCAGCUGCCUUCUGGCACAACCCCCGCAACCACUUCCGCUGCCAAGUCCAGUUCUUUGGGCUCACGAUGGACGACGAGUGGACUUACAACGGUAGUAAACCUGUCACCCAGAACAUCAGUGCUCAGACCUGGGGCAGAGCGGACUGUGGCAUCAGCUCGGCAUCCUAUCAGCAAGGGGUCCUGUCUGCUACCGUCCUCUAUGAAAUCCUGCUGGGGAAGGCCACCCUGUACGCUGUGCUGGUCAGCGCCCUGGUGCUGAUGGCCAUGGUCAAGAGAAAGGACUCCUGACGCCCCUCAGAAGAUGAAGCCGCAGCUUCCGACCUGUGACAGCCCCAGUGUGAAUUCUCCCUACGCCAACGCUUCUGAAGAGCUGGCAUCUCUCUCCACCCCAGUAUCUUCCCCCUGAGUGU